Molecule: ribosomal RNA, 911 nt
Filed under: Monilinia fructigena
Lineage: Eukaryota; Fungi; Ascomycota; Leotiomycetes; Helotiales; Sclerotiniaceae
Description: LSU rRNA
Rfam family: Eukaryotic large subunit ribosomal RNA
Source: RNAcentral
GCAUAUCAAUAAGCGGAGGAAAAAGAAACCAACAGGGAUUACCUCAGUAACGGCGAGUGAAGCGGUAAAAGCUCAAAUUUGAAAUCUGGCUCUUUCAGAGUCCGAGUUGUAAUUUGUAGAAGAUGCUUCGGGUGUGGUUCCGGUCUAAGUUCCUUGGAACAGGACGUCAUAGAGGGUGAGAAUCCCGUAUGUGACUGGAUACCUAUGCUCAUGUGAAGCUCUUUCGACGAGUCGAGUUGUUUGGGAAUGCAGCUCAAAAUGGGUGGUAUAUUUCAUCUAAAGCUAAAUAUUGGCCAGAGACCGAUAGCGCACAAGUAGAGUGAUCGAAAGAUGAAAAGCACUUUGGAAAGAGAGUUAAACAGUACGUGAAAUUGUUGAAAGGGAAGCGCUUGCAAUCAGACUUGCACUUGGUGUUCAUCGGGGUUUCUACCCCGUGUACUUCAUCAAGUUCAGGCCAGCAUCAGUUUGGGUGGUUAGAUAAAGGCUUAGAGAAUGUGGCCCUCUUCGGGGGGUGUUAUAGCUCUAGGUGCAAUGUAGCCUACCUGGACUGAGGACCGCGCUUCGGCUAGGAUGCUGGCGUAAUGGUUGUAAGCGACCCGUCUUGAAACACGGACCAAGGAGUGUACCUAAUAUGCGAGUGUUUGGGUGUUAAACCCAUACGCGUAAUGAAAGUGAACGGAGGUGAGAGCCCUUAAGGGUGCAUCAUCGACCGAUCCUGAUGUCUUCGGAUGGAUUUGAGUAAGAGCAUAUUGGGUGCGACCCGAAAGAUGGUGAUCUAUACGUGAAUAGGGUGAAGCCAGAGGAAACUCUGGUGGAGGCUCGCAGCGGUUCUGACGUGCAAAUCGAUCGUCAAAUUUGCGUAUAGGGGCGAAAGACUAAUCGAACCAUCUAGUAGCUGGUUCCUGCCGAGU